GAAAAGCGAGGCCCUGGAGAACCUCUUUGGCUCCUGGAAUAGCAGCAGCCCUGCUACUUCUCUACCCUCCAAGUCCAGGCUUCUCUGCAGCUGAGAGCAGCUCCUGUGCAGCCAUUCACUUGAGCAUCUAAUCAGCCUGCAAAGUGCAGAUGGGGAUCUAGGGCUUCUACCUUGACAUUUGGAUCAUAGAUAGUGGAGACCAAACAAUCCCAACUAUGAAGAGAUAAAGAGACUGAACUUCAGCAUGGAGAGCUGCAUCAAACAGUGUCUGUCUUUGAAGGAUAUUGAGACAACAGAUUUGGAGGACAAGGGAGUUUGUAUAUACCUUCUGCCUAUCGGAGAUGAAUUAUAAGCCAACUCUGGCAAAGAUAGGAAUGGAACCAGAAUAUCCCAGCAAAAAUGAUUGAUGACAUCUUGAAUUUCUCUCAGAAAGAGAUGAAUAUGCAAGGACAGUAGUAAGUGAUCUGCUAAGGUACUGAAGAAAGAGGUAGGGUUUGCUUAAACCACAAGCAUAAUAAAAAUCCAGGGCACAUCAAAGGCCAUGUCUGUUCUAGUCAUUUUGACAAAGCUCAGGUUUCUGGUAGCUGUUGGUAAAUGGAUUUUUGAUCAUUCAGGAGUCUGUGAUAGGUAGUCACACUUAAAAUAUAUUUUUCACCUAUAUAACCUCUAGGGUUUGAAACUGCUGUUACUAUUGUUUAAUCGCUUCAGUUGCAUCCAACUCUGUGAGACCCUAUGGACUGUAG
This 743-nucleotide long non-coding RNA is filed under the name Capra hircus (goat). RNAcentral's name for it is "lncRNA (ENSCHIG00010019343.1)". The record is from RNAcentral. Lineage: Eukaryota; Metazoa; Chordata; Mammalia; Artiodactyla; Bovidae.